CCUACGGGUGGCAGCAGUGGGGGAUAUUGCACAAUGGGGGGAACCCUGAUGCAGCGACGCCGCGUGGGUGAAGAAGUGCUUCGGUGUGUAAAGCCCUGUCAGCAGGGAAGAAAAUGACGGUACCUGAAGAAGAAGCCCCGGCUAACUACGUGCCAGCAGCCGCGGUAAUACGUAGGGGGCAAGCGUUAUCCGGAUUUACUGGGUGGAAAGGGGGCGCAGACGGCAGUGCAAGCCUGGAGUGAAAGCCCGGGGCCCAACCCCGGGACUGCUCUGGAAACUGCGUGGCUGGAGUGCAGGAGGGGCAGGUGGAAUUCCUGGUGUAGCGGUGAAAUGCGUAGAUAUCAGGAGGAACACCGGUGGCGAAGGCGGCCUACUGGACUGUAACUGACGUUGAGGCCCGAAAGCGUGGGGAGCAAACAGGAUUAGAUACCCUAGUAGUC
Molecule: ribosomal RNA, 440 nt
Filed under: uncultured bacterium
Lineage: Bacteria
Description: partial 16S ribosomal RNA
Rfam family: Bacterial small subunit ribosomal RNA
Source: RNAcentral